GGUAUUUUGACCGUGCGAAGGUAGCGCAAUCACUUGUCUUUUAAAUGAAGACCUGUAUGAAUGGUGAAACGAGGGCUUGACUGUCUCCCCUCUCCAGUCAAUGAAAUUGAUCUGUCCGUGCAGAAGCGGACAUAAUAAUACAAGACGAGAAGACCCUUUGGAGCUUAAGAAUAAAGGCCACCUAUGUCAAGAGCCCCUUAACACGCUAAACUAAAUAGUACAUUGGCCCUAAUCUUCAGUUGGGGCGACCACGGAAGAAAAUAAAGCUCCCGCGAGGACUGGGACCAUACUCCUAAAACCAAGAGAGACAUCUCCAAGGCACAGAACAUCUGACCACAAGAUCCGGCCACAGCCGAUCAACGAACCAAGUUACCCUAGGGAUAACAGCGCAAUCCCCUUUCAGAGUCCAUAUCGACAAGGGGGUUUACGACCUCGAUGUUGGAUCAGGACAUCCUAAUGGUGCAGCCGCUAUUAAGGGUUCGUUUGUU
This 488-nucleotide ribosomal RNA is filed under the name Amphilius sp. Its description in RNAcentral is "partial 16S ribosomal RNA". It matches the Rfam family "Bacterial large subunit ribosomal RNA", at positions 1935 to 2581 of the family's 2925-position model. Lineage: Eukaryota; Metazoa; Chordata; Actinopteri; Siluriformes; Amphiliidae. The record is from RNAcentral.